UGGGGAAUUUUGGACAAUGGGGGCAACCCUGAUCCAGCAAUGCCGCGUGUGUGAAGAAGGCCUUCGGGUUGUAAAGCACUUUUGUCCGGAAAGAAAACGCCGUGGUUAAUACCCGUGGCGGAUGACGGUACCGGAAGAAUAAGCACCGGCUAACUACGUGCCAGCAGCCGCGGUAAUACGUAGGGUGCAAGCGUUAAUCGGAAUUACUGGGCGUAAAGCGUGCGCAGGCGGUCCGCUAAGACAGAUGUGAAAUCCCCGGGCUUAACCUGGGAACUGCAUUUGUGACUGGCGGGCUAGAGUAUGGCAGAGGGGGGUAGAAUUCCACGUGUAGCAGUGAAAUGCGUAGAGAUGUGGAGGAAUACCGAUGGCGAAGGCAGCCCCCUGGGCCAAUACUGACGCUCAUGCACGAAAGCGUGGGGAGCAAACAGGAUUAGAUACCCUGGUA
Molecule: ribosomal RNA, 445 nt
Filed under: uncultured bacterium
Lineage: Bacteria
Description: partial 16S ribosomal RNA
Rfam family: Bacterial small subunit ribosomal RNA
Source: RNAcentral